GGCAAAGUGCAGAGGAAGGAGGAGCCACUGCUAGUGGGUACGAGGUUUCUUCUUGGUACAAGGACUUCUACGUUCUGUCCUCCUGCAGCCAUCUAAAAUCAGCCAGAAAGGUUUAGGAUCCCAUUUCCUGUUCUUGCAUCGGCUGUCCAAGCUGCUGUUCCUCUCUCCGCAGUAAGAGGGUGUUUCUCUCCCUGUUCAAGAGGAGCACCAACACUUGAGGACAGUAUCAUCCCUAGACCUUGGCAAGAGAGACCACUGAGUGAGGCAUCCAUGGAACCCAAGGAAGAGGCCUACGAAGAACCUGCAGUCACCUUCUAGACCAUUCUCCCUCACCAAACUGUCCCCUCCAGAGAGCUGAGGACUGGAUCUUCCCAUGCUGACACCUCCAGUGGGAAAGAAAAUUCUAGAUUCAGCUCUGGGUGUCCAAGUCAUUAUGAAGGCAUAUUUGUCAAGGUGGAAGAAAAGGACAUAUUCUAUUUAGCAGUUUUUUAGAGGACAACUUCUCUUCACUGAGGACAACACAGAAUCCUGGAGAUAUUUUUGAUGAGUAGUAAAGAAGUAAUGCAUGACUCUGAUUUGCGGCUGCAGGAUAAAUCCGAACUAUUUCAGGGAGAUGUCAUGGAGAGCUCAUCUCUCAGCAUCAAAGUUGCCUCUCCUGACUUUUGAAUUUUAAGUGUUCUGUGUGGAAGAAAAAUGGAGACAACAAAUUUCUAUGCAUGGAUUCAAAGAAUCCUCGUAAUAUACAGACUACAUUCUCCCCAGCUUUUUAUCUCUAUAUAUUCUUUUUGUUGAGUUUCAACCACAUAGGGUUGAAAUUCACCUUCCCACAUUACAUUUUUCAUCAAUAGUUGAAGACCUAUGUAUGUAAAUAUCAGGAACUAUCAGAACUCCCUGCAACAGGAAACCUGACCCCCAACUCCCCCGAAAUGCAUCAUGAUAAACAGUCACUUGCCAAAAUAACAAAUCAGCUUCCUGGAACAUGCUUGCUCAAAACCAGGAGAGGAGCUUAGAGACGUCAGCUUGACUUCUGCCUCGUACGCAGGAAGGGUGACCUUCAAAGAUCAAACAUCGUCCCAAAUCUCCCUUCAUCUUGUAGUACUCCUGCUUGUCGUAGCUCCUGUUACCAUCAGAGACAGAAUGUGCUAUAACCUUCUGGAAACUUCUACUAUUUUCCUGCAACCUGACUACCCCUUAGGUGAGGGAGUCCAGAAUGCUGGCUUGAAAUGGGAGAGAGAAAGAACUGCCACAUAAUUUGCAAGAUCUUUUUUGAAAAAGAAAAGGUAUUAAGAAUUCCAGGACAGCAUUAGGAAUGUAUUAAACCAGAAUAAGGAACAGCGGAGCUUCCCCCUAAGACCCUGGUGUGUUUCUGCAUCAGGAAACCUUCUCUCCUGCAAUGUGUCGUUUAAGAUUGAACAACAUGGUGCCUUUGCCAGAAGUUAACAGGAAACCCAAAAGGAGAUGAGCCAGACUGGUUAGUUCAGAAGAGAAUCGUUGGGGAAGACAAUGGGAGCUGCUGUUUGAAUGUGGCCCUGAGAUUAUUUGUGCUUUUCAAUCCCAUGUUACCAAAACACAUUUCAAGCUGGCCUAUAAAUCACACCUUGUGCAUAAUUUUAAGUGGAUAAAUAUUUGUCGCCCAAGUGAAUGAUGCUUCCAGCUUUCAAAAAA
This is a long non-coding RNA of Homo sapiens (human), 1665 nucleotides long. Lineage: Eukaryota; Metazoa; Chordata; Mammalia; Primates; Hominidae. The record is from Ensembl.